Non-coding RNA from Cavia porcellus (domestic guinea pig), 45 nucleotides. The record is from Rfam. Lineage: Eukaryota; Metazoa; Chordata; Mammalia; Rodentia; Caviidae.
CCUUUGGCUAUUUUUAUAGCCAUUUACUGUAUUUAAAAAAUGUUU